AUUGAACGCUGGCGGCAGGCCUAACACAUGCAAGUCGAGCGGCAGCGGGAAAGUAGCUUGCUACUUUUGCCGGCGAGCGGCGGACGGGUGAGUAAUGCCUGGGAAAUUGCCCAGUCGAGGGGGAUAACAGUUGGAAACGACUGCUAAUACCGCAUACGCCCUACGGGGGAAAGCAGGGGACCUUCGGGCCUUGCGCGAUUGGAUAUGCCCAGGUGGGAUUAGCUAGUUGGUGAGGUAAUGGCUCACCAAGGCGACGAUCCCUAGCUGGUCUGGGAGGAUGAGCAGCCACACUGGAACUGGGACACGGUCCAGACUCCUACGGGAGGCAGCAGUGGGGAAUAUUGCACAAUGGGGGAAACCCUGAUGCAGCCAUGCCGCGUGUGUGAAGAAGGCCUUCGGGUUGUAAAGCACUUUCAGCGAGGAGGAAAGGUUGAUGCCUAAUACGUAUCAACUGUGACGUUACUCGCAGAAGAAGCACCGGCUAACUCCGUGCCAGCCGCCGCGGUAA
Molecule: ribosomal RNA, 508 nt
Filed under: uncultured bacterium
Lineage: Bacteria
Description: partial 16S ribosomal RNA
Rfam family: Bacterial small subunit ribosomal RNA
Source: RNAcentral